RNAcentral lists this ribosomal RNA (665 nucleotides) under uncultured Micromonosporaceae bacterium. RNAcentral's name for it is "bacterial SSU rRNA". It matches the Rfam family "Bacterial small subunit ribosomal RNA", at positions 136 to 816 of the family's 1533-position model. The record is from RNAcentral. Lineage: Bacteria; Bacillati; Actinomycetota; Actinomycetes; Micromonosporales; Micromonosporaceae.
CUUUGGGAUAACCCUCGGAAACGGGGGCUAAUACCGAAUAGGACUUCUGGCCGCAUGGCUGGUGGUGGAAAGUUUUUCGGCUUGGGAUGGGCUCGCGGCCUAUCAGCUUGUUGGUGGGGUGAUGGCCUACCAAGGCGACGACGGGUAGCCGGCCUGAGAGGGCGACCGGCCACACUGGGACUGAGACACGGCCCAGACUCCUACGGGAGGCAGCAGUGGGGAAUAUUGCACAAUGGGCGGAAGCCUGAUGCAGCGACGCCGCGUGAGGGAUGACGGCCUUCGGGUUGUAAACCUCUUUCAGCAGGGACGAAGCGAGAGUGACGGUACCUGCAGAAGAAGCAUCGGCCAACUACGUGCCAGCAGCCGCGGUAAGACGCAGGGUGCGAGCGUUGUCCGGAUUUAUUGGGCGUAAAGAGCUCGUAGGCGGCUUGUCGCGUCGACCGUGAAAACUUGGGGCUCAACCCCAAGCCUGCGGUCGAUACGGGCAGGCUAGAGUUCGGUAGGGGAGACUGGAAUUCCUGGUGUAGCGGUGAAAUGCGCAGAUAUCAGGAGGAACACCGGUGGCGAAGGCGGGUCUCUGGGCCGAUACUGACGCUGAGGAGCGAAAGCGUGGGGAGCGAACAGGAUUAGAUACCCUGGUAGUCCACGCUGUAAACGUUGGGCGC